Scatophagus argus is the source of this 2071-nucleotide long non-coding RNA. RefSeq lists it as uncharacterized. The record is from RefSeq and is a predicted model, not a curated record. Lineage: Eukaryota; Metazoa; Chordata; Actinopteri; Scatophagidae. The transcript has 3 exons.
GUCAUCAUCAAUAAACACAGAAAUGUCUUCCCCUCCUCCUCCCUGUUUGUCCUCAAUCCUCAGUUGGCAUCAGCUAAGCGAUCAAACAGGUUUUUUCUUUUCAGCUGUGAAGACAACACAAUUGGAUUAAACACAUACGAGAUAAUGGCUUCUCUGUAACUGUGAUUGAACAAGCCGCCCGGGGAGAUGAUCAAUUCUACUCAAACUGGAAAAGUCUGUGCUUGGACUCAUGUAACGCAGACACCUUUCCCUCUUCCUCGAGCCCGUCGUAACAUCUGGAUCUUAACAUGGGGGAGGUUUAAUCAGGGGCAACCAUCAGGACAGGAGGGGAGCGCGUGCUGAAUCCAUUAAAUAUGGAUUAGAGUGGUAAUCGCGGGAGAGCGGGACAGGAGGGCAGAGGGUUGUGGGAGAACAGCCAGGUGGGCGAGCUGCUGUGACCCGAACCACGACAGGGAGACAGAGAGAGAGAGUCAGCACUGAUGACUGUGCUGCUGAGACGAACGGAUGGCACCACGAGUGAUUUGUCUCGUCUGAAUCUUCCUCUCCAUUAUGGUCCUCAUCAUCCUUCUGCGCUUUCAGUUUCUCUUUCUCUGAAGAGUGAUUAGCUGACUAGCUGCAGGGGGUAAACUGCUAAGCUGGAAAACAAUGGGAGAAAAUUCAGAAUAACAACACUUCACUUCAGGCUCUUCUCUGUUUUUGUAUUUGCUUUGCAGUUUUUAUGUUUUUUUUUAUUUUCUGUAUGUACAAAUGCUUACAGUGCACCCUUUGUGUGUGUGUGUGCAUUUAUAUAUUAUAGAGUGAAAUUAGAGACUGCUGUGCAAAUUCCAUGCCUGUAUCCAAGUCUCUGUAAAAUUAUAUACUUUCAUAUUUUAAGUUCUAAAGUACACACUGAUGUGCUUUAGUAAUUGUGGGUAUAAUUGUCAUGUAUGUACAUGUAAAAACCUCUUUCUUUAUCUUGUUUAUUUUUAUUUUUCCACACUGCUGUAAGAAAUGAACUUACAUUCAAUAUGAAGCACAAUACAUCAAGUAAAGACUACAGAUGUUGAAGCUACAGUUCUGCUCUGAACAUUAAGUAAAACACCAUCAAGAUGCGGUAACACAAAAGCCGCGUCUAUCAGGAGGAGACAAGCUGGAAAGUUGGUCCUUGCACAACCUUCUGUGUCAACGCAAGAAGCGGCGUGACAUGACAGAGUGCAGUGAAACAUAAAAAUGUGAAGGUCAAGGUGGUGGAUGAAAGUAGAUGUGUUUGUCUUGCACACCAGGGGUCCUGCCUCAUCCGAAUGGACGGCCAACAUGACCACGAUAUCUUCCUGACCUUAAAGAACAGGUUCAGGUUUGUUCGCAUCUAUCUGCAUUCAAAGAAAGUAAAAGCUGUGGUCGCUGCAACCCUUUCUCCUCUCCAUACAGGUGGGAAGUGAUCCUGUACUGUUGAGACUCCACUGUAAGAGACAGGGUAAGGAUGCACAAAUACUCAUUCUGUGGGAAAAUGCAUUCUCAAAUUCAGCCAGAGGCAGAACAAGUCGUCAGCUGUUUCCUUGCUGAGCUGCGGGGAGGAAAAGUAACACCAUUGACUUUUUGUGCUAAUUCUGCAUUAAAAAACUAAGACGUAACUAAAUUGUGCUAUUUGACUAAUUCAGACUGCUGAAGCAAGAAAGGGGACAGUGGUUUGUGUAUUUCAUCUUUUACAGCUGCAAGGGGCGAUUUCAUGGUCAGUCCGGACAAGAAGAAUCACAGAAACCAACAGGAAUGGAUAUCUAGAACCAGCAGUGAAAGUGGUGCUGUGCCCUGACUGCUGCCAUUUUCAGACUCCUAACUGUCCCCGAGUGACGACGAAGCUGCCGACAUCAGGCGAUUAUGUUCGGUGUUGCAAACUUCUAUGUUUACAUUCUGUGCUCUGUAGUCAUGGCUGACAGGGUGAAAUGUUCAAAAGUGGGCUCCAUUUACUGAACUGUAUGAAAAUGCAAGCUAUGAUAAGAUUAUACUGUCAUUGCACAGUCACUUAUACAAUCAAACUGAAUGUCAAUUAAGUGUCAUAUUGAGUGAGCACUGCAUUAAAGGACAAGGCUGCUGA